Molecule: ribosomal RNA, 468 nt
Filed under: uncultured bacterium
Lineage: Bacteria
Description: partial 16S ribosomal RNA
Rfam family: Bacterial small subunit ribosomal RNA
Source: RNAcentral
GACGAACGCUGGCGGCGUGCUUAAUACAUGCAAGUCGAACGGAAAGGCCCUGCCUUUGUGGGGUGCUCGAGUGGCGAACGGGUGAGUAACACGUGAGUAACCUGCCCUUGAAUUUGGGAUAACUUCCGGAAAAUGGGGAUAAUUACGGAUAGGAGCACCUGCUGCAUGGUGGGGGUUGGUAAGGUUCGGCGGUGGGGGAUGGUGUGGCGGCUUAUCAGCUUGUUGGUGGGGUCGUGGCUUACCAAGGCGUUGACGGGUAGCCGGCCUGCGAGGGUGACCGGCCACAGGGGGAGAGAGAUACGGCCGGGAGUCGUACGGGAGUCAGCAGUGGGGAAGAUUGCACGAUGGGCGGAAGCCGCAUGCAGCAAGGCCGCGUGCGGGAUGUCGGCCUCUGGUGUGUAAGCCGCUUGGUCCAGUGACGAUGCCUGAGUGACGGUAAUUUGUAAGGAAGCACCGGCUAACUACGUG